RNAcentral lists this ribosomal RNA (306 nucleotides) under uncultured Corynebacteriaceae bacterium. Its description in RNAcentral is "bacterial SSU rRNA". It matches the Rfam family "Bacterial small subunit ribosomal RNA", at positions 54 to 354 of the family's 1533-position model. Lineage: Bacteria; Bacillati; Actinomycetota; Actinomycetes; Mycobacteriales; Corynebacteriaceae. The record is from RNAcentral.
ACAUGCAAGUCGAACGGUAAGGCUCCAGCUUGCUGGGGUACACGAGUGGCGAACGGGUGAGUAACACGUGGGUGACCUGCCCUGCACUUCGGGAUAAGCCUGGGAAACUGGGUCUAAUACCGGAUAGGACCAUGGUGUGGAUGCUGUGGUGGAAAGUUUUUUCGGUGUGGGAUGGGCCCGCGGCCUAUCAGCUUGUUGGUGGGGUAAUGGCCUACCAAGGCGUCGACGGGUAGCCGGCCUGAGAGGGUGGACGGCCACAUUGGGACUGAGACACGGCCCAGACUCCUACGGGAGGCAGCAGAAGGG